This 469-nucleotide ribosomal RNA is filed under the name uncultured bacterium. Its description in RNAcentral is "bacterial SSU rRNA". It matches the Rfam family "Bacterial small subunit ribosomal RNA", at positions 28 to 508 of the family's 1533-position model. The record is from RNAcentral.
GACGAACGCUGGCGGCGCGCCUAACACAUGCAAGUCGAACGGAGCUGAGAGGAGCUUGCUUUUCUUAGCUUAGUGGCGAACGGGUGAGUAACGCGUGAGUAACCUGCCCUGGAGUGGGGGACAACAGUUGGAAACGACUGCUAAUACCGCAUAAGCCCACGAUCCGGCAUCGGAUUGAGGGAAAAGGAUUUAUUCGCUUCAGGAUGGACUCGCGUCCAAUUAGCUAGUUGGUGAGGUAACGGCCCACCAAGGCGACGAUUGGUAGCCGGACUGAGAGGUUGAACGGCCACAUUGGGACUGAGACACGGCCCAGACUCCUACGGGAGGCAGCAGUGGGGGAUAUUGCACAAUGGGGGAAACCCUGAUGCAGCGACGCCGCGUGGAGGAAGAAGGUUUUCGGAUUGUAAACUCCUGUCGUUAGGGACGAUAAUGACGGUACCUAACAAGAAAGCACCGGCUAACUACGUGC